GCCUCGGUAGCUCAGUCGGUAGAGCAGUUGACUCUUAAUCAAUUGGUCCCAGGUUCGAAUCCUGGCCGGGGCACCA
RNAcentral lists this transfer RNA (76 nucleotides) under Verrucomicrobiales bacterium. Its description in RNAcentral is "tRNA-Lys". It matches the Rfam family "tRNA". Rfam says of the family: Transfer RNA (tRNA) molecules are approximately 80 nucleotides in length. Lineage: Bacteria; Pseudomonadati; Verrucomicrobiota; Verrucomicrobiia; Verrucomicrobiales. The record is from RNAcentral.